This is a non-coding RNA of Paramuricea clavata, 207 nucleotides long. NCBI's taxonomy places the organism in Eukaryota, Metazoa, Cnidaria, Anthozoa, Malacalcyonacea, Plexauridae. The record is from the annotation of a GenBank genome assembly.
UACCUCUCCUAUUACUACGCACCAAUCGCCAUGCUAAAUUUCGCGGCUAACCCAAUUCUAUAUGCCCUACGUCUACCCGACUACAGGCAAACUUUGCUCGCUUUCGUUGGUAAAAGCAGGAGUAGUUAUCGGAGGAGAUCAACGCAGAACAUGUCGUCACAGUUAACAAACACGUUCUCCUUGAAAAGUCGAAGAGAAAGAGCCGCG